RNA transcript from Dermacentor silvarum, 1539 nucleotides. It is a transcript of the gene named E3 ubiquitin-protein ligase RNF170, with no coding region annotated. The transcript is spliced from 5 exons. Lineage: Eukaryota; Metazoa; Arthropoda; Arachnida; Ixodida; Ixodidae. The record is from RefSeq and is a predicted model, not a curated record.
CGUCUAGCAGCGCCGCUGGCACAGCUUCCGUCCGUCAGCGUCGGCCUCUCUUGUGCUCUCGUCAUGUGUCAUAAUAGUAGUGUCUGAAGCUGCUGGGUGGUGUGCGCGCUCUUUCGUACUCGACCGACUGUCCUCGAAGGCUCUGUAAUGAUUGUGUCGGCGUGGACAUGUGCGCAGACGAUGCUGGGGGCCUGAUCGAAGGCGUCGGAAACGAGGUCCUCUUCACUGUACCUGUCGUCGCCGCCGUCGUCGUCGGACUGCUGGGUUUUGCAGGGUGGCAGCAGUUGCGGCAGCUGUCGAGUUGGUCACCAGCCGAGCUGCCUCCUCCACGGCGUGUACUGACAAGGGAGGCUCAACAAUGGUGCCGCAGCUGCGUCGCCAGCAGCAGAACACAGCAGCAUGGCAGCACACUACGGAUCAGACGCACAGUGCCCAUCUGCCUGGCUGAGCCCCGACACCGUGGAGACCAACUGCGGUCACCUCUUCUGUGCCAGCUGUCUUGUCUCCUACUGGCACCACGGCAACUGGAGAGGAGCAGUGCGGUGUCCCGUGUGCCGACAACAGGUGUCCGUGAUGCUGCGUUGCUUCCAGGACCAACACCUGGCUGAUGAGACAGAUGCUCAACGCGAGGAACGGGCCCGCCUGCUUCGAGAUAUCAAUGACUACAAUCGCCGAUAUUCAGGAGAGCCCAGGCCAUGGCUGGACCACCUGCGAGAUCUGCCAACGCUGUUGCGCCAUGCGGGCUCCGAGUUCUUCUCUGUGGGCGGCAUCAUGUACAUGUUCCGACUGCGCAUCGUGCUCUGCUUCGUGGCCGCCAUCAUGUACCUCAUCUCGCCACUGGACAUGAUUCCGGAGGCGAUCUUCGGCAUCCUUGGUCUGCUGGAUGACCUCUUUGUAGUGCUGCUUCUAGCCAUCUACGUUACCGUCAUCUAUCGGCGCUUCCUGGCUGCACGAUGGCAAGAGGAUGCGAACUGAACCAGACUGAUGACCGUGCUGGUGUGUGCUCGUACUGUGGCAAUGGUUCUGUACUGUGGUUUGGCCCAAGGUUCAGCCUUGCUUCUGCAAAGCCAGCCACCUCGUGUGUGCGUGUGGAUACAUGUGCUUUACUUUCCAAGGAAAUUGCAACAGCCCGGACACAUUUUAUCGAUGAAGUUACGACAGCACGCUCUUAGUGUUUUCGGGGAUGUCCCCUUUUAUAGCGAAAUUGCGCCUUGACAAUUUUAUGCUGCAGGCAUUGUAAAUUAUGCGAUGCUGCAGAAAAACUGCUCUGUAUCUGCUCUCGGUUAUAGACCGAGCACCUUGCUUUCUUGUAGCAGCAUUCAGGAGCUCAUUCACCCGGCAGUGAUCAGAUUGCCCUUUGUGUGAUACUGAUUUACUUGGACAGGGUAUCAUGCAGUGUUGACAGGCUACACACAUAUAUGCAGGACAUGCAGGCUCUGUUAUAGGCUCGACAUUCUGUAAAGGCCCAUUCAAUGAGCUGAAAUGUUGCGAGCGUGGCACUUACUGUUUGUUACAAAAUAAACGAUUUGUUAUUCAAGA